GGUGCAGCUCAAUGGUAGAGCGCAUGCUUAGCAUGCACGAGGUCCUGGGUUCAGUCCCUGGUACCA
Molecule: transfer RNA, 66 nt
Filed under: Camelus bactrianus (Bactrian camel)
Lineage: Eukaryota; Metazoa; Chordata; Mammalia; Artiodactyla; Camelidae
Also listed under: 2 other names
Rfam family: tRNA
About the family: Transfer RNA (tRNA) molecules are approximately 80 nucleotides in length. Their secondary structure includes four short double-helical elements and three loops (D, anti-codon, and T loops).
Source: Rfam by way of RNAcentral